ACACCUACGGGUGGCUGCAGUCGAGAAUCUUCGGCAAUGGACGAAAGUCUGACCGAGCGACGCCGCGUGCGGGAUGAAGGUCUUCGGAUUGUAAACCGCUGUCAGAGGGGAUGAAGUAUACGAGAGCUAUCUCUUGUAUUUGACAGAGCCUCAGAGGAAGCACGGGCUAAGUUCGUGCCAGCAGCCGCGGUAAUACGAACUGUGCGAACGUUAUUCGGAAUCACUGGGCUUAAAGGGUGCGUAGGCGGUUAUCUAAGUCACGUGUGAAAUCCUCCGGCUCAACCGGAAAACUGCGCGUGAUACUGGAUGACUUGAGUGAGGUAGGGGUGUGUGGAACUUCCGGUGGAGCGGUGAAAUGUGUAGAGAUCGGAAGGAACGCCAGCAGCGAAAGCGGCACACUGGGCCUUUUCUGACGCUGAGGCACGAAAGCUAGGGGAGUGAACGGGAUUAGAUACCCCGGUAAUCCUAGCCGUAAACACUGAACACUGGAGGAAGGGGGCUUCGGCCUUCUUUCUCGUAGCGAAAGCGUUAAGUGUUCCGCCUGGGGAGUAUGGUCGCAAGGC
Molecule: ribosomal RNA, 563 nt
Filed under: uncultured Planctomycetota bacterium
Lineage: Bacteria; Pseudomonadati; Planctomycetota
Description: bacterial SSU rRNA
Rfam family: Bacterial small subunit ribosomal RNA
Source: RNAcentral